UACGGAGGGUGCUAGCGUUGUUCGGAAUCACUGGGCGUAAAGGGCGUGUAGGCGGUCUGUUAAGUCUGAUGUGAAAUCCCCUCGCUCAACGUGGAGGGGCCGUUCGAUACUGUCGUGACUCGAGUCCGGUAGGGGAGUGUGGAAUUCCCGGUGUAGCGGUGAAAUGCGCAGAGAUCGGGAGGAACACCCGUAGCGAAGGCGGCACUCUGGGCCGGUACUGACGCUGAGGAGCGAAAGCGUGGGGAGCAAACAGG
Molecule: ribosomal RNA, 254 nt
Filed under: uncultured bacterium
Lineage: Bacteria
Description: partial 16S ribosomal RNA
Rfam family: Bacterial small subunit ribosomal RNA
Source: RNAcentral